This 321-nucleotide ribosomal RNA is filed under the name Soa sp. KY-2005. RNAcentral describes it as "partial 12s rRNA". The record is from RNAcentral. Lineage: Eukaryota; Metazoa; Arthropoda; Insecta; Psocodea; Lepidopsocidae.
GGUAGUAGUUUAUUUUAAUUUUGAAACCUAAAGAAUUUGGCGGUGUUUUAUUCUGGUUAGAGGAAUAUGUUUUCUUAUAGAUUGAUAAUACACAAUUAUCUUACUUAAAUUAUUUAGUUUUGUAUAUCUCCGUCUGAUAAGAAUGUUUUAAGGAAAAAUUUUUCUUAAUAUAAUUAAAAUAAAAUGUCAGGUCAAGUCGAUGCAGAUUAUGUUUAAGUAAAAAUGUAUUACAAUAAAUUUAUUUUUGGAUUUAUAUUGGUNAUUAUAUUUUAUAUUAUUUUGAUUUGUAAGUAAAAUUUAAUAUAUGAUUGUUGUUUGAAA